This 549-nucleotide ribosomal RNA is filed under the name Lampanyctus crocodilus (jewel lanternfish). RNAcentral's name for it is "partial 16S ribosomal RNA". It matches the Rfam family "Bacterial large subunit ribosomal RNA", at positions 1852 to 2598 of the family's 2925-position model. The record is from RNAcentral. Lineage: Eukaryota; Metazoa; Chordata; Actinopteri; Myctophiformes; Myctophidae.
GUCCCGCCUGCCCUGUGACUAUAUGUUUAACGGCCGCGGUAUUUUGACCGUGCGAAGGUAGCGCAAUCACUUGUCUUUUAAAUGGAGACCUGUAUGAAAGGCAUCACGAGGGCUUAGCUGUCUCCCCUUUAAAGUCAAUGAAAUUGAUCUCCCCGUGCAGAAGCGGGGAUAUACUCGUAAGACGAGAAGACCCUAUGGAGCUUAAGAUAAAAGGCGAGUCAUGUCAAACACCCCCUCAAAGGAAAUGAACGAAAUGAUACCCCGCUGGAAUGUCUUCGGUUGGGGCGACCGCGGGGAAAGACAAAACCCCCACAUGGACCAGGGCCACUAUAGCCCUAAAACCUAGACCCACAGGUCAAGUCAACAGUAAAUCUGACCACCAAAGAGCCGGCAAUGCCGAUCAACGGACCGAGUUACCCUAGGGAUAACAGCGCAAUCCCCUCCCAGAGCCCUUAUCGACGAGGGGGUUUACGACCUCGAUGUUGGAUCAGGACAUCCUAAUGGUGCAGCCGCUAUUAAGGGUUCGUUUGUUCAACGAUUAAAGUCCUA